UACGUAGGGGGCAAGCGUUGUCCGGAAUCAUUGGGCGUAAAGCGCGUGUAGGCGGCCUUGUAAGUCCGUUCUGAAAGCCCGGGGCUCAACCCCGGGAGGCGGAUGGAUACUGCAAGGCUCGAGUACGGAAGAGGCGAGUGGAAUUCCCGGUGUAGCGGUGAAAUGCGCAGAUAUCGGGAGGAACACCAGCGGCGAAGGCGGGUACCUGGGCCAACACUGACGCUGAGGCGCGAAAGCUAGGGGAGCAAACAGG
RNAcentral lists this ribosomal RNA (253 nucleotides) under uncultured bacterium. Its description in RNAcentral is "partial 16S ribosomal RNA". It matches the Rfam family "Bacterial small subunit ribosomal RNA", at positions 524 to 776 of the family's 1533-position model. The record is from RNAcentral.